AGCGCGCCCGGAGUGAUCCGGCUGCGGGCCAGGGUCUGGGAAGGGGGUGGUGGGUCGCCGUUUCAUCAGAAGCCGGAGGACGGGCGCCAGGGGGCAACUUCCUACAGGAGGGCGUCCCGUUAGAAUGACAGGGCUUUUGCAAAAGUCUGACACCCGUGGCACAGAGCGCCCCAGAUAUGGAGGGUUUCACAGGCUCAUGUGUGGCUUCUUCAGUCCUCUCUUCAUUCACUCAUGUAUUCAUUUAUUCAACGACAUAUUACUAAGGAACCUCCUUAAGCCGGGAUGCUGAACGUGGAAAAAUAGUUGACUCUUGAACAAUGUGGGGGCUUGGGGCACCAACCCCCUGUGCAGUUGAAAAUCGACAUAUAACUUUGACUCGCCAAAAACUUCACUACAAUAGCCUGCUGCCAACCUGAAGUCUUACCAAUAACAUCAACAGUCAAUUAAACAUAUUACUAGGCUGAAAAGGAGAAGGAAGUGAAGGGGUUGGUCUUGCCGUCUCACGAGUGGCAGAGGCAGGAGAAAAUCCAAAUAGUAUAGAUGUUCUUCAGGCUGGAUGCAUAUUGCCAGAUUUGAAUACUAACCUUUUAGGAAGGUCUGGGAUGUUUCUCUUGCAUGCCUCUGGAAUCAAAUGACUCUGAUACUGCAAGCACUUCAGAGUAUGUAUAAGCAAUUUCAGCUGGUUCCGUCCUGAUAUUUACAAAACUGCCUGGAUCAUACUUACAACCAUGCAAUGAUAUAUAUUUCUAUUAAGAAAGCAACGAUUUGCUUGAAAGAUGAAGGAAAACAAACUAAGUAUUUAUGUACAAUGAGUCCUAAGUGUACACCACUAUGUUUUCCAUCAGCUUUUGAUUUUCUGUCACUCCUCUUUUUCUUUGAAAUUUAGAGUCAGAAGUGAACUGACUUCAUGGUUUUCCUCAUGAUUAUUUGAUAUCCUCUAGGGAAUCAUGACUUAAAGACUGCAUUCUUCCUUCUCAAAACUCAUGUUAAAGAUUUCUCCAUGCAGAGCCACAGGCUAUUUUGGAGUUUGAAAUGGAGCAGUUAAAACUAGGAGGUCACACACGUUGAGAUUAUUCCUUCACUGCAUCUCGCCCGGCUUGUGUGCCUGAGGAGACACGCAUCUCAGAGGGCAGAGGGGCAGCCGUUGUCUAGUGAGGUUAUUUCACCUACUAUAUAAUAAAAUGUACAGGACAAUAGCGCA
Molecule: long non-coding RNA, 1201 nt
Filed under: Homo sapiens (human)
Lineage: Eukaryota; Metazoa; Chordata; Mammalia; Primates; Hominidae
Description: PPP1R3B divergent transcript, transcript variant 8 (PPP1R3B-DT)
Source: RNAcentral